UGGGGAAUAUUGGACAAUGGGGGCAACCCUGAUCCAGCGAUGCCGCGUGAGUGAAGAAGGCCUUCGGGUUGUAAAGCUCUUUUAUUCAUGAAGAUAAUGACGGUAGUGAAAGAAUAAGCCCCGGCAAACUUCGUGCCAGCAGCCGCGGUAAUACGAAGGGGGCUAGCGUUGUUCGGAAUUACUGGGCGUAAAGGGCGCGUAGGCGGCUUGACACGUCAGAUGUGAAAGUCCUGGGCUUAACCUGGGGAUUGCAUUUGAUACGGUGAGGCUAGAGGCCGAGAGAGGGUAGUGGAAUUGUGUGUGUAGAGGUGAAAUUCGUAGAUAUACACAAGAACACCGGUGGCGAAGGCGGCUACCUGGCUCGGAACUGACGCUAAGGCGCGAAAGCGUGGGGAGCAAACAGG
Molecule: ribosomal RNA, 404 nt
Filed under: uncultured bacterium
Lineage: Bacteria
Description: bacterial SSU rRNA
Rfam family: Bacterial small subunit ribosomal RNA
Source: RNAcentral